UGUUAGAUUGAUCUCCAAGCCUACUUUAC
This 29-nucleotide non-coding RNA is filed under the name Bombyx mori (domestic silkworm). The record is from RNAcentral. Lineage: Eukaryota; Metazoa; Arthropoda; Insecta; Lepidoptera; Bombycidae.